CCAUACAAAUCUCGGUAUGCGAUCGGUCGUUAAAAUGACCGGUGUUCUUUAUAGUCUUUGAUUUCUCCGUCUUACCUUUUCCUGUCACGGUAUGCGAGGUUGGUGGUUGAAGACCACUCCGCGGGAACGAACGUCUAUGGUAUGGUGUCGAGGUGGGGUCUUAGGUAUUUCGGAGGCGUCGUUGUUACCCUCGAUUCGAAGGCUCGAGUCGUUAAAGUCCUACGACUACGGCAAAGAUCGAGUCCGGAGAGUUUGAUGUGAGGGACAACGCUCAACAAGACCCGACGUAGCGGCGGUGGGCCGCGCCUUAAAGCCGGCUAUAACAUCUACCACCCCCCGUUCUUCGUUCCGUUAAGUAAGGGGAGCGUCGCAUAAACCUGGGUGAUUACCGCGAGGUAGAUCACUAUAACACUUCUUUUCUUUCUAUCACCUCGUGUAAUAAGACGAGUCUCGGUUCGGUUUGUAGAGUCUACGACUUCUUUUCCUGUACGAACUAAUGAAUAUAUGUAGAGUCAUAGUCUACUCUCCCUAUGAGUGACACAGUAAUCCGGCGUAUCUUCCGGGAUUGUCGCUCUCGAAGUGCGUACGACAGAAGUACGCAAAGGUUGUCUUUCUUCUGUAACGUUUCAAGGUCUCAUCGAGGAUGAUAAGGUUUCAAGAGCUGCUCGUGCAGUUUGGGCAAAGGAUACAUGCGGAGUGGUGUAAAACUUAGACUCCACCUUCUACUGUAAUAGGGAGAGAAAGCCUCCCCGCUCCUAAAGUUGAUGCCACAGCUCAAAUACAACAACUAUAGAAAGAACCUCUGACGUAGGUCUCUCAGACACCUCCUACGUAAUCGGGUAGAAGUUUUCGACUAGUAGGUGAUGUCAAGAAAGUAACAAGUCCGUUGCAGUCCAACGACAGACCUAGUAUACCUACCAGACAUGUCAGUGCGACGUCAAUAGGCAAAAGGUAGUUAGCUGCUGAAGUUUAAUAAGUUCCUCUCGUGCCUUAUGUUCCUACAUUCUGAAGACGUAAAAGUGGCUAUCCUUAAACUCUCAGCCAUUUAAGACAAUAAUUACCCAAACCUUCUACUUUGUUGUUAUUCUCUAAUUGUAUUAAUUUAUUCACGAGACUUUUGAACAAAGCGAAAACACAUUGAAGUCGAGUUGUUGAAUCUUGUAAGUCUUGGAUCUUGGAAAACCCCUGGAUUUUUUCUUCUUGAUUCAUUGACAACGUCAGAUUUUUUACUAGCCUUUUAUAGUAAACCACGUAACGGUUUGAUCUUCGAGUUCGAUCCGAGUGUCUUACUACUAUAAUCAACGGAUUUUAGUCCUCUGUGUCUCAAGUUGUUGAGACUUUCAGGGAUGGGUACUGUCGUUCUUAUUACGUCUCGUUCGUGGUACGAGCUAAAACAGUGUUUACGGACUACUUCAAGGUAAAAAUUAUCAAAGAAACACGGACAGAACACUCUACGUCUACACCUGUAGGUUUAAAGUAGGCCAAUGGCUCUCUACAGAGCUCGACGUAAAACAGCAGCUGGGUCAGCCGUUGGUCGACUACAUCUAAGACUCGGGAACACGAGACUUUGACUUGGACUUUACCUUGGAACAGUGUAGGCUUUCUCUCAAGAACACAAUCACACGACACAUAUAGUAAAGUAAAAAGAAGCCGAACCCACUAGAAGACGGGUACAGGUCUAACCCGAGGUGCUCCGUCACUGACUGCUCGCUACAACAUUCCAGAUAGAAGAACAAGUCGUGCCUACUUACUCAUGUUACAAUAUUCUUUUUACCUACACAUAUCAGCCUAUAGGUCAACCCGAGAUCCCUCGUAACCGAGGACGUGCGGUUUUUUGUAAAAACGUU
Molecule: ribosomal RNA, 1847 nt
Filed under: Triticum aestivum (bread wheat)
Lineage: Eukaryota; Viridiplantae; Streptophyta; Magnoliopsida; Poales; Poaceae
Description: partial small subunit ribosomal RNA
Source: RNAcentral